GACGAACGCUGGCGGCGUGCCUAAUACAUGCAAGUUGAGCGCUGAAGGUUGGUACUUGUACCAACUGGAUGAGCAGCGAACGGGUGAGUAACGCGUGGGGAAUCUGCCUUUGAGCGGGGGACAACAUUUGGAAACGAAUGCUAAUACCGCAUAAAAACUUUAAACACAAGUUUUAAGUUUGAAAGAUGCAAUUGCAUCACUCAAAGAUGAUCCCGCGUUGUAUUAGCUAGUUGGUGAGGUAAAGGCUCACCAAGGCGAUGAUACAUAGCCGACCUGAGAGGGUGAUCGGCCACAUUGGGACUGAGACACGGCCCAAACGCCUACGGGAGGCAGCAGUAGGGAAUCUUCGGCAAUGGACGAAAGUCUGACCGAGCAACGCCGCGUGAGUGAAGAAGGUUUUCGGAUCGUAAAACUCUGUUGGUAAAGAAGAACGUUGGUGAGAGUGGAAAGCUCAUCAAGUGACGGUAACUACCCAGAAAGGGACGGCUAACUACGUG
Molecule: ribosomal RNA, 497 nt
Filed under: uncultured bacterium
Lineage: Bacteria
Description: partial 16S ribosomal RNA
Rfam family: Bacterial small subunit ribosomal RNA
Source: RNAcentral